ACCUUCGGUUGUAACCGCUUUGUCAGGGAAGGAAAAGCUUCGAACUAAUAAUUUGAGGUGAUGACGGUACCUGAAGAAUAAGCACCGGCUAACUACGUGC
RNAcentral lists this ribosomal RNA (100 nucleotides) under uncultured bacterium. RNAcentral describes it as "partial 16S ribosomal RNA". The record is from RNAcentral.